UACGUAGGGACCGAGCGUUAUCCGGAAUCAUUGGGCGUAAAGAGCUCGUAGGCGGUUCAGAAAGUCGGCUGUGAAAGUCCAAGGCUCAACCUUGGAAAUGCAGUCGAGACUUCUGUGACUAGAGUCUGGUAGAGGAGAAUGGAAUUCCCGGUGUAGCGGUGGAAUGCGCAGAUAUCGGGAGGAACACCAGUAGCGAAGGC
Molecule: ribosomal RNA, 200 nt
Filed under: uncultured bacterium
Lineage: Bacteria
Description: partial 16S ribosomal RNA
Rfam family: Bacterial small subunit ribosomal RNA
Source: RNAcentral